This 301-nucleotide ribosomal RNA is filed under the name uncultured bacterium. RNAcentral describes it as "partial 16S ribosomal RNA". It matches the Rfam family "Bacterial small subunit ribosomal RNA", at positions 509 to 809 of the family's 1533-position model. The record is from RNAcentral.
CAGUAGCCGCGGGAAAACGGAGGGUGCAAGCGUUAAUCGGAAUUACUGGGCAUAAAGCGUACGCAGGCGGUUUGUUAAGUCAGAUGUGAAAUCCCCGAGCUUAACUUGGGAACUGCAUUUGAAACUGGCAAGCUAGAGUCUUGUAGAGGGGGGUAGAAUUCCAGGUGUAGCGGUGAGAUGCGUAGAGAUCUGGAGGAAUACCGGUGGCGAAGGCGGCCCCCUGGACAAAGACUGACGCUCAGGUGCGAAAGCGUGGGGAGCAAACAGGAUUAGAGACCCCGGUAGUCCCUGUCUCUUAUCC